RNAcentral lists this ribosomal RNA (258 nucleotides) under uncultured bacterium. Its description in RNAcentral is "partial small subunit ribosomal RNA". It matches the Rfam family "Bacterial small subunit ribosomal RNA", at positions 26 to 285 of the family's 1533-position model. The record is from RNAcentral.
AGGACGAACGCUGGCGGCGUGCUUAACACAUGCAAGUCGAGCGAGGCCCUUCCUUCGGGAAGGUGCCCUAGCGGCGAACGGGUGAGUAACACGUGGGCAACCUGCCCCUAGCACUGGGAUAACUCCGGGAAACCGGGGCUAAUACCGGAUAUGACCUUUGAGGGCAUCCUCGAAGGUGUAAAGGAUUCUGGCUAGGGAUGGGCCCGCGGCCUAUCAGCUUGUUGGUGGGGUAAUGGCCUACCAAGGCGACGACGGGUA